UACGUAGGGUCCGAGCGUUGUCCGGAAUUAUUGGGCGUAAAGCGUGCGCAGGCGGUGAUGUAAGACAGGUGUGGAAUCCCCGGGCUUAACCUGGGAACUGCAUUUGUGACUGCAUCGCUGGAGUGCGGCAGAGGGGGAUGGAAUUCCGCGUGUAGCAGUGAAAUGCGUAGAUAUGCGGAGGAACACCGAUGGCGAAGGCAAUCCCCUGGGCCUGCACUGACGCUCAUGCACGAAAGCGUGGGGAGCAAACAGG
Molecule: ribosomal RNA, 253 nt
Filed under: uncultured bacterium
Lineage: Bacteria
Description: partial 16S ribosomal RNA
Rfam family: Bacterial small subunit ribosomal RNA
Source: RNAcentral